RNAcentral lists this long non-coding RNA (223 nucleotides) under Helianthus annuus (common sunflower). RNAcentral's name for it is "hypothetical non coding rna". The record is from RNAcentral. Lineage: Eukaryota; Viridiplantae; Streptophyta; Magnoliopsida; Asterales; Asteraceae.
UUGUACCUUUAUCUUUAUACAUACAGGUUUCUUUUUGUGUAAGUUACAAAAGACAUUUAACAUAUGCAGGAUACUUGCUAUUCUUUGUAACCUUAUUUCUGUAGUGUGUUACAAUUUGGUCAGGACCAAAAAAAAAAACAAAUGCUUGCAAGUUACAAAUCUUCUUUCAACGUUUCAAACACACAACUUAGAACGUCGAUAUCUCUUUCAUCUUAGCUCCGUU